CGGGCUGGCCGGGUGAUCGCGGCAGUGCAUCUUUGUACUGCUGAGGAAAGUCCGCACUCCACAGAGCACGGCGCCGGGUAACACCCGGAGCGGGGUAACCCGCUGGAUUGGGCCACAGAAACAAACCGCUGCCUGUUUCAGGCAGCAAGGGUGAAAAGGUGGUGUAAGAGACCACCGGAGUCCGCAGUAAUGCGGCUGCCAGGCAACCCCCGCCGGGA
RNAcentral lists this RNase P RNA (218 nucleotides) under Bellilinea caldifistulae. RNAcentral's name for it is "partial RNase P RNA component class A". It matches the Rfam family "Bacterial RNase P class A", at positions 1 to 221 of the family's 367-position model. From Rfam's summary of the family: Ribonuclease P (RNase P) is a ubiquitous endoribonuclease, found in archaea, bacteria and eukarya as well as chloroplasts and mitochondria. Its best characterised activity is the generation of mature 5'-ends of tRNAs by cleaving the 5'-leader elements of precursor-tRNAs. The record is from RNAcentral. Lineage: Bacteria; Bacillati; Chloroflexota; Anaerolineae; Anaerolineales; Anaerolineaceae.